This 463-nucleotide ribosomal RNA is filed under the name uncultured bacterium. Its description in RNAcentral is "partial 16S ribosomal RNA". It matches the Rfam family "Bacterial small subunit ribosomal RNA", at positions 28 to 506 of the family's 1533-position model. The record is from RNAcentral.
GACGAACGCUGGCGGCGUGCUUAACACAUGCAAGUCGAACGGAAAGGCCCAGCUUGCUGGGUGCUCGAGUGGCGAACGGGUGAGUAACACGUGGGUGAUCUGCCUCUAACUUCGGGAUAAGCUUGGGAAACUGGGUCUAAUACCGGAUAGGACAAUCGUUUAGUGUCGGUUGUGGAAAGUUUUUUCGGUUAGGGAUGAGCCCGCGGCCUAUCAGCUUGUUGGUGGGGUAAUGGCCUACCAAGGCGUCGACGGGUAGCCGGCCUGAGAGGGUGGACGGCCACAUUGGGACUGAGAUACGGCCCAGACUCCUACGGGAGGCAGCAGUGGGGAAUAUUGCACAAUGGGCGCAAGCCUGAUGCAGCGACGCCGCGUGGGGGAGGACGGCCUUCGGGUGGUAAACCUCUUUCGACAGGGACGAAGCUUUGGUGACGGUACCUGUAUAAGAAGCACCGGCUAACUACGU